AUGAAACACUCCUACGGGAGGCAGCAGUGAGGAAUAUUGGUCAAUGGGCGGGAGCCUGAACCAGCCAAGUAGCGUGCAGGAUGACGGCCCUAUGGGUUGUAAACUGCUUUUAUGCGGGGAUAAAGUGAGGGACGUGUCCUUCAUUGCAGGUACCGCAUGAAUAAGGACCGGCUAAUUCCGUGCCAGCAGCCGCGGUAAUACGGAAGGUCCGGGCGUUAUCCGGAUUUAUUGGGUUUAAAGGGAGCGUAGGCCGUGGAUUAAGCGUGUUGUGAAAUGUAGACGCUCAACGUCUGACUUGCAGCGCGAACUGGUCCACUUGAGUGUGCACAACGCAGGCGGAAUUCGUCGUGUAGCGGUGAAAUGCUUAGAUAUGACGAAGAACCCCGAUUGCGAAGGCAGCUUGCGGGAGCACGACUGACGCUGAAGCUCGAAAGUGCGGGUAUCGAACAGGAUUAGAAACCCUAGUAGUCCGAAGUUC
Molecule: ribosomal RNA, 478 nt
Filed under: uncultured bacterium
Lineage: Bacteria
Description: bacterial SSU rRNA
Rfam family: Bacterial small subunit ribosomal RNA
Source: RNAcentral